UUAAAGAAAACAAUGGUUUGUGUCUUAUAAUAUACGGCCAAUAAUUUAAUUUACUUGACAAAAAAAUAAAUGUUUGUUAGUUUUAAACAUUCGCUUGGAUCCGCAGGGACUGAGACGAAAGG
Molecule: non-coding RNA, 122 nt
Organism: Smithella sp. SCADC
Lineage: Bacteria; Pseudomonadati; Thermodesulfobacteriota; Syntrophia; Syntrophales; Smithellaceae
Source: Rfam